Long non-coding RNA from Mytilus californianus (California mussel), 597 nucleotides. RefSeq lists it as uncharacterized. The transcript has 3 exons. NCBI's taxonomy places the organism in Eukaryota, Metazoa, Mollusca, Bivalvia, Mytilida, Mytilidae. The record is from RefSeq and is a predicted model, not a curated record.
AUGUACCUGCACCCAACAAAUAUGAAUACGAAAAGAAAAGAAUCGAGCGAGGAUCAAAGUUUUCAAUGGGCAAACGAUUCAAUAUGCCAAACAGCAUGAAGGACAACCCAGGCCCUGGAACAUAUACGCCGAAACUACUUAAAUUAUCACCAAAGUUUUCAAUGAAGGGAAGAACAUUGAUCAUUAGUAAAAGUGGGAACACUCCAUCCCCAAAUUCAUAUAGCAUCCCACCUGAGAUUAAAUUGAACGACAAGAACGCUGGAGUUACCAUAAAGAGCAGAGCGAGCCCUUACGUGUAUUCCGGAUUUCGCUCAACAAAACUUGUCGAUGGAUGCAACAUGGAAGUACCAGAAAAGGCGUAAUCGAUAUUGAUCCUAUUAUUUAAGGUCACUUGCGCAACCAUAUGUUUUGUAAUUAAUUACGUGCUUUAUGAGAGAAAAUAAAGGAAGUGGAGUAUUAUUUUACGUAUAUCUGAGCUAUUUUUAAUUUGUUUAUACCCUUUCACUUAUUUUUACACAUGCUACAGAUGGCUCUAAGUAUAUACCUUCAGAUUUUGCUUAUAAUUAUAAUGGGAAACGAAUUAGAAAUCGAACAUAC